Molecule: long non-coding RNA, 467 nt
Organism: Nannospalax galili (Upper Galilee mountains blind mole rat)
Lineage: Eukaryota; Metazoa; Chordata; Mammalia; Rodentia; Spalacidae
Exons: 3
Source: RefSeq, a predicted model, not a curated record
UGGACUGAGAAGGUGAAUCUCAUCCCCAGGCCCUGGUUCAGGGAGUGGAGGCCAUUCUUCAGCACAACUGGGAUGCCCUGCUCCAGGCUCUGCAGCAGCUGAGACUGUCCAUCCAGGACUUCACCAGUGCCCUGGCACAGAUGCAUGAUUAUGUAGACCCAGACAUGUUUUACUCAGUCAUCCGGAUCUUUCUCUCUGGAUUGUGACUACCACAGCUGCUAAUCUGGGAAAAUCAUGGAGAAGUCGGCCCCAAAAUGCCCAAAGAUAACAACCUGGAUCCUGGAAGCAUUUGCAACCUCAGCAGAGUUUGGGGAAGGUCAAGGACACAAGCUGAGGCGGAGUCUGCAUGUGGCUUUGAAAUGUGCAGGGGCCCUGUGCGCCUUUUCAGACUCACAGGAAGUGGAGACAUCUGUGUGAAUCUGCUGUUUACUCUGCCAUGCGAAGUAGACAGCUCCUCCCCAGACAAA